This 554-nucleotide ribosomal RNA is filed under the name uncultured bacterium. Its description in RNAcentral is "bacterial SSU rRNA". It matches the Rfam family "Bacterial small subunit ribosomal RNA", at positions 777 to 1345 of the family's 1533-position model. The record is from RNAcentral.
AAUAGAUACCCCGGUAGUCCACGCCGUAAAACGAUGGAUGCUAGCUGUUAUGCGUAUCGACCCGUGUAGUAGCGAAGCUAACGCGUUAAGCAUCCCGCCUGGGGAGUACGAACGCAAGUUUAAAACUCAAAGGAAUUGACGGGGACCCGCACAAGCGGUGGAGCGUGUUCUUUAAUUCGAGGCUAAGCGAAGAACCUUACCAGGGCUUGACAUCCUUGGAAUUUCUCCGAAAGGAGAGAGUACUUUAUUGGACCAAGUGACAGGUGCUGCAUGGCCGUCGUCAGCUCGUGUCGUGAGAUGUUUGGUUAAGUCCAUUAACGAGCGCAACCCUUAUGAAUAGUUGUAUUUUUCUAUUCAGACUGCCCCGGUAACGGGGAGGAAGGGGGGGAUGAUGUCAGGUCAGUAUUGCCCUUACGCCCUGGGCUAGAAACGCGCUACAAUGGCCGGUACAAUGCGCUGCCAACCCGCGAGGGGGAGCAAAUCGCAUCAAAGCCGGUCCCAGUUCGGAUAGAGGCUGAAACUCGCCUCUUGAAGCCGGAAUCGCUAGUAAUCGU